AAAGCCACACUGUGUAGGAUUUAGUCUCAUCUAGUGGUGAGGAUGCAGACUGCAUUAUAGCAUCACCAGUCACAGCUUUGUCUUCCUUGAUGUUUUUGUUU
Long non-coding RNA from Thalassophryne amazonica, 101 nucleotides. RefSeq lists it as uncharacterized. NCBI's taxonomy places the organism in Eukaryota, Metazoa, Chordata, Actinopteri, Batrachoidiformes, Batrachoididae. The transcript is spliced from 3 exons. The record is from RefSeq and is a predicted model, not a curated record.